UAACUGAAGGAAGGAAAGGGGCCCACCCGGAGGAGGAAGGGCAAAAAUCUAUUUAUACACAAAACAGCUUUGCAAGGGGGAGAGGCACCUGAUAUAAAAGUUUUGGGUCACUUGAAGCAUGACAGGAAGAUGGUAAAAUGGAGCCAGAAUCUGAGAAGGCUGGGAAGAGGGGGAAGUACCAGCUGCAGAGGUUUGAAGGGCGCCAUGUCCCUCACCUCUUCAGAGCUUCUUCUCCCUGUUGCUACCGCCAAGAGAAGAGAGUCUUGACAGAUAUUUAUGAAGUACCUACUAUGAGCCAGAUACCACGUGCUGACAAUACAAGGAUCACGGACACUGCAGGCCUCACAGUCUGGAAGAAGGAGGCACAUGAGCAGAGGAAGCCAGCUGCCAUGUCAUGAGGACACUCCAGUGGCCCUAUGGAGGGGUCCUGCAAGUAAGGACCAGAGGCCUCCCUGUCAACCUGCCAGCAGGUGUGAGCCAUCUUGGAAGCAGAUUCUCCAGCCCAGAUCUUCAGAUGACCACAGGCCCAGGUGACCUCCUGACUGCAACCCCAAGCCACAACCAUGCAAUGAGCCACUCCCUCUUUCCUGCCUACCAUAAACUGUGUGAGAGAAUAAACUGUGAGUGUAUUGUCACUUUGGGCUAUUUAACUGAGCAGAAAUCUGUUAUGCUGCAAUAGAUAAUCAACCCUUCAGCUUUGGAGCCAUCUAGGAAGGUUUAGGGACCAGCAUGGCUUUGGGAGGAGCAAUUCAUUCCAAGCCAAUUUAAUUUCCUCUCAUGAUGAAGUGACCUGGCAUGCGGAUAAGGGAGCAAUAAGUGUAUCUCCUCGCCUCUGGAGGGCUUUUAAUUCAAUACCACAUGCCACUCUCAUCAACAUGCAGGGAGGCAGGGUCUGGGCAGUGGUUCAUUGAUUUGGCCCUAGGAGAAUACACGUAGGAGCUCAUCCAGGACUUGAGGGAGGGGAAGGAAUAUGGAUAUUUCUGUGAUCUGAAUGUGUCCCCCAAAAUUCAUGUGUUGGAAACUUGAUCCUUAAUGCAAUAGUGUUGGGAGGUGGAACCUUUGGGGAGGUGUUUAGAUCAGGAGGGCUCUGCCUUCAUGAAUGGAUCAAUGCUAUCACAAAAGGGCCUGAUGGAGGCAGUUUGGUUCUUUUUUUGCCUUUCCUUCUGCCUUCUGCGUGGGAGGGCACAGCAUUCAAGACACCAUCUUAGAAGCAGAGACUGGGCCCUCACCAGACACAAAACCUGCCAGUUCCUUGAUGUUGGACUUAUCAGAAUCCAG
This 1278-nucleotide long non-coding RNA is filed under the name Homo sapiens (human). RNAcentral's name for it is "HSALNT0056126". Lineage: Eukaryota; Metazoa; Chordata; Mammalia; Primates; Hominidae. The record is from RNAcentral.